This 247-nucleotide ribosomal RNA is filed under the name uncultured bacterium. RNAcentral's name for it is "partial 16S ribosomal RNA". It matches the Rfam family "Bacterial small subunit ribosomal RNA", at positions 523 to 769 of the family's 1533-position model. The record is from RNAcentral.
AUACGGAGGGUCCGAGCGUUAUCCGGAUUUAUUGGGUUUAAAGGGUGCGUAGGCGGUUUUAUAAGUCAGCGGUGAAAUUUUCCGGCUCAACCGGGAUACUGCCGUUGAUACUGUAAGGCUAGGAUAUGGUUGCUGUGGGUGGAAUGUGUGGUGUAGCGGUGAAAUGCUUAGAGAUCACGAAGAACUCCAAUUGCGUAGGCAGCUCACUGGGCUACAACUGACGCUGAGGCACGAAGGUGCGGGGAUC